UACAGAGGGUGCUAGCGUUGUUCGGAAUCAUUGGGCGUAAAGGGCGUGUAGGCGGUUUGUUAAGUCAUGUGUGAAAUCCCUCGGCUUAACCGGGGAACUGCGUCUGAUACUGGAUGGCUUGAGUUCGGGAGAGGGAUGCGGAAUUCCAGGUGUAGCGGUGAAAUGCGUAGAUAUCUGGAGGAACACCGGUGGCGAAGGCGGCAUCCUGGACCGACACUGACGCUGAGGAGCGAAAGCCAGGGGAGCAAACGGG
RNAcentral lists this ribosomal RNA (253 nucleotides) under uncultured bacterium. Its description in RNAcentral is "partial 16S ribosomal RNA". It matches the Rfam family "Bacterial small subunit ribosomal RNA", at positions 524 to 776 of the family's 1533-position model. The record is from RNAcentral.